Molecule: long non-coding RNA, 970 nt
Filed under: Homo sapiens (human)
Lineage: Eukaryota; Metazoa; Chordata; Mammalia; Primates; Hominidae
Description: non-protein coding lnc-ABCC5-3:6
Source: RNAcentral
GUCUUCCCCGGGAGCCCACAGGGGUCUGAGGUUGAUCCCGGAGGCGCGAGGAGUCGGUACGGGUCACGGUUGUCCCGGCCCCUGAGGCGCAGGGUAGGAGUGGGGUCCCAUAGAUGUCAGACUCGGUCUGCAAGUAUCGUCGGCCUUCAUUUGUAGGUGAACAAGCCGAGAUUCUUGUGGCGUGAUAGGACUUGUGGUCGCCACGAAGGGGCCAGCUCCAUCGGGAAUCUGUAAUCGCCCAGCAGUUUCCCCGCCCCGCGCAUGUGAAAUAUGUAGCCCUCCGUAUUCAUUCUAGAAACUUCUGGGAACCCAGCGCCUUGGGGAGAUAGAACCGAGCCAGAUGUUCCCCCGCUGCGAGGAACUCAGAACCUGCAUAAAUAGAGAAGGUGGCAGGCAUAUAGUAGGGAGACCAGUAAUUCCAUUGAGCGCUGAUUUUGGGCCAGGCACGAUACAAGCAUUAUCUCUGCAAAACAUCUUAUUCAUUCGUUCAGCAAACGUUUCUUGAACUCUCAGAAGGAUGAAGGAAGUUUACCCAGCUACCUAUCAGCCUCCUGUGUCUUAAGCAGAGUGGAGACGGGGGUGGAUCCAGGCGCACCAGUAAGUUGUACUGGAGUUAAGCAGUAAGCUUUCUGGGCAGAGGAAAGUGCGGGCGUAAAGGUCCAAGGCUUGAAAAGGCGCAGCAGCACCUUUUUCUCUUUGGGGAAAGAAGCGGUGGCUGCGGGGAAUAAACCAACUCUGUAGAGGGGCGGGGCCGUGGGAAAGCGGUGGAACGGGGCAGGAAGGCUGGGCGUCAUUUGGGAGGCAAGGAACUUUUCUGUAAGGCAUAGCGCCCUUUCUGCACGGGACCUGUCCAGGUUCCACGCCACAGGCUUCUGCAGUUCCUGCAAACUGUUCCCAUCCCGCCCCGCGUUGCACGUCGGGAUUUGGAGUUCGCGAUGCUGAGAGCUGUUUCCACGUGGCGAUUCCGACU